CGUGCUUAACACAUGCAAGUCGAACGAUGAACCUCAGCUUGCUGGGGGGAUUAGUGGCGAACGGGUGAGUAACACGUGAGUAACCUGCCCUUGACUCUGGGAUAAGCCUGGGAAACUGGGUCUAAUACCGGAUAUGACUCCUCAUCGCAUGGUGGGGGGUGGAAAGCUUUUGUGGUUUUGGAUGGACUCGCGGCCUAUCAGCUUGUUGGUGGGGUAAUGGCCUACCAAGGCGACGACGGGUAGCCGGCCUGAGAGGGUGACCGGCCACACUGGGACUGAGACACGGCCCAGACUCCUACGGGAGGCAGCAGUGGGGAAUAUUGCACAAUGGGCGCAAGCCUGAUGCAGCGACGCCGCGUGAGGGAUGACGGCCUUCGGGUUGUAAACCUCUUUCAGUAGGGAAGAAGCGAAAGUGACGGUACCUGCAGAAGAAGCGCCGGCUAACUACGUGCCAGCAGCCGCGGUAAUACGUAGGGCGCAAGCGUUAUCCGGAAUUAUUGGGCGUAAAGAGCUCGUAGGCGGUUUGUCGCGUCUGCCGUGAAAGUCCGGGGCUCAACUCCGGAUCUGCGGUGGGUACGGGCAGACUAGAGUGAUGUAGGGGAGACUGGAAUUCCUGGUGUAGCGGUGAAAUGCGCAGAUAUCAGGAGGAACACCGAUGGCGAAGGCAGGUCUCUGGGCAUUAACUGACGCUGAGGAGCGAAAGCAUGGGGAGCGAACAGGAUUAGAUACCCUGGUAGUCCAUGCCGUAAACGUUGGGCACUAGGUGUG
This 768-nucleotide ribosomal RNA is filed under the name Micrococcaceae bacterium. Its description in RNAcentral is "bacterial SSU rRNA". It matches the Rfam family "Bacterial small subunit ribosomal RNA", at positions 43 to 824 of the family's 1533-position model. Lineage: Bacteria; Bacillati; Actinomycetota; Actinomycetes; Micrococcales; Micrococcaceae. The record is from RNAcentral.